RNAcentral lists this ribosomal RNA (460 nucleotides) under uncultured bacterium. RNAcentral describes it as "partial 16S ribosomal RNA". It matches the Rfam family "Bacterial small subunit ribosomal RNA", at positions 338 to 795 of the family's 1533-position model. The record is from RNAcentral.
CCUACGGGAGGCAGCAGUGAGGAAUAUUGGUCAAUGGACGAGAGUCUGAACCAGCCAAGUAGCGUGAAGGAUGACUGCCCUAUGGGUUGUAAACUUCUUUUAUAUGGGAAUAAAACGUUCCACGUGUGGGAUUUUGUAUGUACCAUAUGAAUAAGGAUCGGCUAACUCCGUGCCAGCAGCCGCGGUAAUACGGAGGAUCCGAGCGUUAUCCGGAUUUAUUGGGUUUAAAGGGAGCGUAGGUGGAUUGUUAAGUCAGUUGUGAAAGUUUGCGGCUCAACCGUAAAAGUGCAGUUGAAACUGGCAGUCUUGAGUACAGUAGAGGUGAGCGGAAUUCGUGGUGUAGCGGUGAAAUGCUUAGAUAUCACGAAGAACUCCGAUUGCGAAGGCAGUUCACUGGACUGCAACUGACACUGAGGCUCGAAAGUGUGGGUAUCAAACAGGAUUAGAAACCCUAGUAGUC